This 23-nucleotide non-coding RNA is filed under the name Cricetulus griseus (Chinese hamster). The record is from RNAcentral. Lineage: Eukaryota; Metazoa; Chordata; Mammalia; Rodentia; Cricetidae.
GCGUGCUGUAGUGAACAUUUUGU